RNAcentral lists this ribosomal RNA (429 nucleotides) under Gemmatimonadota bacterium. RNAcentral describes it as "Gemmatimonadetes bacterium partial 16S ribosomal RNA". It matches the Rfam family "Bacterial small subunit ribosomal RNA", at positions 355 to 776 of the family's 1533-position model. The record is from RNAcentral. Lineage: Bacteria; Pseudomonadati; Gemmatimonadota.
UAGGGAAUCUUCGGCAAUGGACGAAAGUCUGACCGAGCAACGCCGCGUGAGUGAAGAAGGUUUUCGGAUCGUAAAACUCUGUUGUUAGAGAAGAACAAGGACGUUAGUAACUGAACGUCCCCUGACGGUAUCUAACCAGAAAGCCACGGCUAACUACGUGCCAGCAGCCGCGGUAAUACGUAGGUGGCAAGCGUUGUCCGGAUUUAUUGGGCGCAAAGCGAGCGCAGGCGGUUUCUUAAGUCUGAUGUGAAAGCCCCCGGCUCAACCGGGGAGGGUCAUUGGAAACUGGGAGACGUGAGUGCAGAAGAGGAGAGUGGAAUUCCAUGUGUAGCGGUGAAAUGCGUAGAUAUAUGGAGGAACACCAGUGGCGAAGGCGGCUCUCUGGUCUGUAACUGACGCUGAGGCUCGAAAGCGUGGGGAGCAAACAGG